Molecule: ribosomal RNA, 253 nt
Filed under: uncultured bacterium
Lineage: Bacteria
Description: partial 16S ribosomal RNA
Rfam family: Bacterial small subunit ribosomal RNA
Source: RNAcentral
UACAGAGGGUGCAAACGUUGUUCGGAAUUACUGGGCGUAAAGCGCGUGUAGGCGGCACGUUAAGUCGACUGUGAAAGCCCAUGGCUCAACCAUGGAAGUGCAGUCGAAACUAGCGAGCUUGAGUCCCGGAGAGGGUGGCAGAAUUCCCAGUGUAGAGGUGAAAUUCGUAGAUAUUGGGAGGAAUACCGGUGGCGAAGGCGGCCACCUGGACGGGUACUGACGCUGAGACGCGAAAGCGCGGGGAUCAAACAGG